This 727-nucleotide ribosomal RNA is filed under the name uncultured bacterium. RNAcentral describes it as "bacterial SSU rRNA". It matches the Rfam family "Bacterial small subunit ribosomal RNA", at positions 771 to 1501 of the family's 1533-position model. The record is from RNAcentral.
AACAGGAUUAGAUACCCUGGUAGUCCACGCCGUAAACGAUGAGUGCUAGGUGUCGGGGGGAGACCCUCGGUGCCGGAGCAAACGCAAUAAGCACUCCACCUGGGGAGUACGGCCGCAAGGUUGAAACUCAGAGGAAUUGACGGGGGCCCGCACAAGCGGUGGAGCAUGUGGUUUAAUUCGAAGCAACGCGAAGAACCUUACCAAGGCUUGACAUCCUUCUGACCGCGCUAGAGAUAGCGCUUCCCUUCGGGGCAGAAGUGACAGGUGGUGCAUGGUUGUCGUCAGCUCGUGUCGUGAGAUGUUGGGUUAAGUCCCGCAACGAGCGCAACCCUUAUUUUUAGUAGCCAGCGGUUAGGCCGGGCACACUAGAGAGACUGCCGUGGAUAACACGGAGGAAGGUGGGGACGACGUCAAAUCAUCAUGCCCCUUAUGUCUUGGGCUACACACGUGCUACAAUGGCGUAUACAAAGAGAAGCGAGAGGGCGACCUGGAGCAAACCUCAAAAAGUACGUCACAGUUCGGAUUGCAGGCUGCAACUCGCCUGCAUGAAGCUGGAAUCGCUAGUAAUCGCGAAUCAGAAUGUCGCGGUGAAUACGUUCCCGGGCCUUGUACACACCGCCCGUCACACCAUGGGAGUUGGUAGCGCCCAACGUACGUGACCUAACCGUAAGGAAGGAGCGUCCUAAGGCGAGAUCAGCGACUGGGGUGAAGUCGUAACAAGGUAACC